GAGAAGAAGGAGAGGAAAAAAGAAGAAAGAAGAAAGAAGAAAGAAGAAUAAAGAAUAAGAAGCAAAGAAGAGAAGAGGAGAAGAGGAGAAGAGGAGAAGAGAAGAGAAGAAGAUUGGAGAAGAAUUUGACUUAUUUGGAAGGCUGCUGCAGAAUCCAGCAAAGAGGUUUUGAAGUUGAAGCAAAGAAGAUCUGGAGAUUGGUCGCUGAUGAAGUCAUGGACAAGGAGUGAUUAUAGACAAGGACUUUGAUACAUUGUGUAUUAUAGAGUAAAUUAAAUGUAAGUGGUCUUGUGAAUUUUGUUGUAACCUGUGAAGGUAAUAAAUGGGCCUAUAAUAUUAUAAAAUUAUCAUUGUAACUGAUCACCACAUGUAUAUCAUAACCUUUAUGGAAUUUUACAUAUACUUUGAUUUU
Macadamia integrifolia is the source of this 412-nucleotide long non-coding RNA. RefSeq lists it as uncharacterized. The transcript is spliced from 2 exons. The record is from RefSeq and is a predicted model, not a curated record. NCBI's taxonomy places the organism in Eukaryota, Viridiplantae, Streptophyta, Magnoliopsida, Proteales, Proteaceae.